UUUCUCUCCCACAUUAAUUAGGAGCGUACUCCCCAGUGUGGAAAAACAAGAGAACGUGACUGUCUCAUGGUGAGCGCCUGCUGGGGCCUUAUCCAGGCUAUGGCGGUCUCCGUGGGCGUCCAGGGAGAGCAAGGAUGCUGACAUGGAACGUGCCUCCAGAGCUCGUUGCCAUCGGCUCGCCAGCCAGGAACACCUUUUUACUUUGGUAGGUAUGCAGAGGGAAGGGCCUUGACUCUGGAGACUUGGGGACCAAAGUUAGAGCGGAGGUAGUUCUGUCACUCCCCUUAGACAGAGCCACAGAAUGCCAGGUGGCACUAAGGUCCUUGCUCUCACAAGUAAGCACUGUCCGGGGAACCAGCAAUAUUAAACACGCAGGGUUGUCUCUUCAAAGGGAGAGAUAGAUAUCCUGUUUUUCCUCCCAGAAGGCUGGGAGCGGAGGUGUUUAAUAUCCUGGCGAACUUUGUGCUAUCUGUAUGACCAAGGCCAUGCUAGAUCCUCCCCUAAGAUUAUAUAUGAAUCUUAAGAUGUCAUAUAUAAUCAAUAUACCUAGUCGGCUAGGUAGUGGUGGUGCAUGCCUUUACUCCCAGUAUUCUGGUAGCAAAGGCAGGCGGGUCUCUGCAUUCCUCCCCUAAACCCUUAAGAUGUCAUAUGUAAUCAGUCAUCUGGGUGGUGGUGGUGCAUGCCUUUACUUCCAGGACUUGGGUGGCAAAGACGGGUGGAUCUCUGAGUUCGAGGCUCGCCUGGUC
Molecule: long non-coding RNA, 746 nt
Filed under: Rattus norvegicus (Norway rat)
Lineage: Eukaryota; Metazoa; Chordata; Mammalia; Rodentia; Muridae
Description: long non-coding RNA NONRATT019884
Source: RNAcentral